RNAcentral lists this ribosomal RNA (1619 nucleotides) under Corythaeola cristata (great blue turaco). Its description in RNAcentral is "16S ribosomal RNA". It matches the Rfam family "Bacterial large subunit ribosomal RNA". Lineage: Eukaryota; Metazoa; Chordata; Aves; Musophagiformes; Musophagidae. The record is from RNAcentral.
AGCCCAACUCUAGCCCAAUCUUAGAUCACAACCAAAGCACCUCAAAAAUCCACGACAUUCCCCACACCAAACUAAAACAUUCUCCAAACUUAGUAUAGGCGAUAGAAAAGACUCACCAAUGGCGCGAUAGAGCUCUGUACCGCAAGGGAAAGAUGAAAUAAUAAUGAAAAACCAAGCAGCAAAUAGCAAAGACAAACCCUUGUACCUCUUGCAUCAUGAUUUAGCAAGAACAACCAAGCAAAACGAACUUAAGCUUGCCAUCCCGAAACCUAAGCGAGCUACUUGCGAGCAGCCAUAUCAUGGGCAAACCCGUCUCUGUGACAAAAGAGUGGGAUGACUUGCUAGUAGAAGUGAAAAGCCAACCGAGCUGGGUGAUAGCUGGUUGCCUGUGAAACGAAUUUAAGUUCUCUCUUAAUUCCUCUCCAUGGACUAUAAAACCCAACUCUCACGAAGCGAAUAAAGAGCAAUUUGAAGGGGGUACAGCCCCUUUAAAAAAGAACACAACCUCCAAUAGAGGAUAAUCAAGGUAAUUUUCUCCUCCUCUCCUGUAGGCCCUUAAGCAGCCACCAACAAAGAAUGCGUCAAAGCUCCACUCACAAAAAAUCCAAGAAUAACCCGACUCCCUCACCACCAACAGGCCAACCUAUCAAUAAUAGGAGAAUUAAUGCUAAAAUGAGUAACUAGAACCCCCUUCUCUAAAGCGCAAACUUACAUCACCACAUCAUUAACAGAUCCCAACUAAUACCUCACAUUCAACCAGACCAAAUAUUAAACUUAACCCUGUUACCCCAACUCAGGAGCGCCUAAUUAGAAAGAUUAAAAUCUGUAAAAGGAACUAGGCAAACCCAGGGCCCGACUGUUUACCAAAAACAUAGCCCUCAGCCAGCCAAGUAUUGAGGGUGACGCCUGCCCAGUGACAAUGUUCAACGGCCGCGGUAUUCUAACCGUGCGAAGGUAGCGCAAUCAAUUGUCUCAUAAAUCGAGACCUGUAUGAAUGGCUAAACGAGAUCCUAACUGUCUCUUACAGAUAAUCAGUGAAAUUGAUCCCCCUGUGCAAAAGCAGGGAUAAAUACACAAGACGAGAAGACCCUGUGGAACUUAAAAAUCAGCAGCCACCACACACAAACUCAAACCUACAAGGCCCACCACUUCCUUAAACCCUGGCCUGCACUUUUUCGGUUGGGGCGACCUUGGAGAAAAACAAAUCCUCCAAAGACAAGACCACACCCCUUAACCAAGAGCAACCCCUCAACGUACUAACAGUAACCUAGACCCAGUAUAACUGACCAAUGAACCAAGCUACCCCAGGGAUAACAGCGCAAUCCCCUUCAAGAGCCCAUAUCGACAAGGGGGUUUACGACCUCGAUGUUGGAUCAGGACAUCCUAAUGGUGCAGCCGCUAUUAAGGGUUCGUUUGUUCAACGAUUAACAGUCCUACGUGAUCUGAGUUCAGACCGGAGCAAUCCAGGUCGGUUUCUAUCUGUGAUGAACUUUUCCUAGUACGAAAGGACCGGAAAAGUGAGGCCAAUACUUACAAGCAAGCCUCCUCCUUAAGCAAUGACUACCACUAAAUUGCUAAAAGAUACCCACUCUUUAAACCCAAGUUCUAGAAAAGAACAG